UACGGGGGGGGCAAGCGUUGUUCGGAAUUACUGGGCGUAAAGGGCUCGUAGACGGCCAACUAAGUCGGAUGUGAAAUCCCCAGGCUUAACCUGGGAACUGCAUCCGAUACUGGAUGGCUUGAAUCCGGGAGAGGGAUGCAGAAUUCCAGGUGUAGCGGUGAAAUGCGUAGAUAUCUGGAGGAAUACCGGUGGCGAAGGCGGCAUCCUGGACCGGCAUUGACGCUGAUGAGCGAAAGCUAGGGGAGCAAACGGG
Molecule: ribosomal RNA, 253 nt
Filed under: uncultured bacterium
Lineage: Bacteria
Description: partial 16S ribosomal RNA
Rfam family: Bacterial small subunit ribosomal RNA
Source: RNAcentral